GCUGCUAUGGCUCAGGAGGUAGAGCGUAUCCUUGGUAAGGAUAAGGUCCGCAGUUCGAGUCUGCGUAGCAGCACCA
RNAcentral lists this transfer RNA (76 nucleotides) under Bacillota bacterium. RNAcentral describes it as "tRNA-Thr". It matches the Rfam family "tRNA". From Rfam's summary of the family: Transfer RNA (tRNA) molecules are approximately 80 nucleotides in length. Their secondary structure includes four short double-helical elements and three loops (D, anti-codon, and T loops). The record is from RNAcentral. Lineage: Bacteria; Bacillati; Bacillota.